CCAAUACCUAGCCUUCAAUGAUUGAGAGCAUGCGAGUUACCACUGAGCAACGUUCCCGUAAAGAAGAUUUAGUGUGCCACGAACCUAGAGGAGCGGAGAUAUAUGGUGAACCCUAGACAUUUCUUGCACAGGAAGCAACCGAGAUCCCUUUCUGAUCCAAUCUGCCUUCGCGGACAUGCGACCCGCUGUCAAUCUGCUUCACUGCUCCGAUCCAUUCUCCAUCUCCGAUUGAUUGCUACAUUCUCUUCUGAUAUGCUCUGCUCGUCUCAAUCCAUUCGCAACAUCUGAUUGAACGCUUCUCUAUUUACUUUGUAGUUUAUCUUCAGAUUAUUAAUCUUAUUAUUAUAUUGGUUUUACAA
This is a long non-coding RNA of Brassica napus (rape), 359 nucleotides long. RefSeq lists it as uncharacterized. NCBI's taxonomy places the organism in Eukaryota, Viridiplantae, Streptophyta, Magnoliopsida, Brassicales, Brassicaceae. The record is from RefSeq and is a predicted model, not a curated record. The transcript has 2 exons.